AAAUUGAAGAGUUUGAUCAUGGCUCAGAUUGAACGCUGGCGGCAGGCCUAACACAUGCAAGUCGAGCGGAAACGAGUUAUCUGAACCUUCGGGGAACGAUAGCGGCGUCGAGCGGCGGACGGGUGAGUAAUGCCUAGGAAAUUGCCCUGAUGUGGGGGAUAACCAUUGGAAACGAUGGCUAAUACCGCAUGAUGCCUACGGGCCAAAGAGGGGACCUUCGGGCCUCUCGCGUCAGGAUAUGCCUAGGUGGGAUUAGCUAGUUGGUGAGGUAAGGGCUCACCAAGGCGACGAUCCCUAGCUGGUCUGAGAGGAUGAUCAGCCACACUGGAACUGAGACACGGUCCAGACUCCUACGGGAGGCAGCAGUGGGGAAUAUUGCACAAUGGGCGCAAGCCUGAUGCAGCCAUGCCGCGUGUGUGAAGAAGGCCUUCGGGUUGUAAAGCACUUUCAGUCGUGAGGAAGGUAGUGUAGUUAAUAGCUGCAUUAUUUGACGUUAGCGACAGAAGAAGCACCGGCUAACUCCGUGCCAGCAGCCGCGGUAAUACGGAGGGUGCGAGCGUUAAUCGGAAUUACUGGGCGUAAAGCGCAUGCAGGUGGUUUGUUAAGUCAGAUGUGAAAGCCCGGGGCUCAACCUCGGAAUUGCAUUUGAAACUGGCAGACUAGAGUACUGUAGAGGGGGGUAGAAUUUCAGGUGUAGCGGUGAAAUGCGUAGAGAUCUGAAGGAAUACCGGUGGCGAAGGCGGCCCCCUGGACAGAUACUGACACUCAGAUGCGAAAGCGUGGGGAGCAAACAGGAUUAGAUACCCUGGUAGUCCACGCCGUAAACGAUGUCUACUUGGAGGUUGUGGCCUUGAGCCGUGGCUUUCGGAGCUAACGCGUUAAGUAGACCGCCUGGGGAGUACGGUCGCAAGAUUAAAACUCAAAUGAAUUGACGGGGGCCCGCACAAGCGGUGGAGCAUGUGGUUUAAUUCGAUGCAACGCGAAGAACCUUACCUACUCUUGACAUCCAGAGAACUUUCCAGAGAUGGAUUGGUGCCUUCGGGAACUCUGAGACAGGUGCUGCAUGGCUGUCGUCAGCUCGUGUUGUGAAAUGUUGGGUUAAGUCCCGCAACGAGCGCAACCCUUAUCCUUGUUUGCCAGCGAGUAAUGUCGGGAACUCCAGGGAGACUGCCGGUGAUAAACCGGAGGAAGGUGGGGACGACGUCAAGUCAUCAUGGCCCUUACGAGUAGGGCUACACACGUGCUACAAUGGCGCAUACAGAGGGCAGCCAACUUGCGAAAGUGAGCGAAUCCCAAAAAGUGCGUCGUAGUCCGGAUUGGAGUCUGCAACUCGACUCCAUGAAGUCGGAAUCGCUAGUAAUCGUGGAUCAGAAUGCCACGGUGAAUACGUUCCCGGGCCUUGUACACACCGCCCGUCACACCAUGGGAGUGGGCUGCAAAAGAAGUAGGUAGUUUAACCUUCGGGGGGACGCUUACCACUUUGUGGUUCAUGACUGGGGUGAAGUCGUAACAAGGUAGCGCUAGGGGAACCUGGCGCUGGAUCACCUCCUUAAACGAUGAU
Molecule: ribosomal RNA, 1561 nt
Filed under: Vibrio parahaemolyticus
Lineage: Bacteria; Pseudomonadati; Pseudomonadota; Gammaproteobacteria; Vibrionales; Vibrionaceae
Description: bacterial SSU rRNA
Rfam family: Bacterial small subunit ribosomal RNA
Source: RNAcentral